RNAcentral lists this unclassified non-coding RNA (223 nucleotides) under Hevea brasiliensis (rubber tree). Lineage: Eukaryota; Viridiplantae; Streptophyta; Magnoliopsida; Malpighiales; Euphorbiaceae. The record is from RNAcentral.
ACUUGAUAUUGCAUUUCCUAUAAAGAGGUGGCUUAGAUGCAUUUCAUAGGAUUAGCCUUGAAUUGGAGUUUAACAGUAAAUGGUUGAAUAUAGUACUGCCUAAACCCAACACAAACUAAUCUGCUAUGCAAUUGCCUGGGAAGUUGGGACUAAAUACAAGCCUGUGAGUGCCUUGGACUGGGCUUUAUGUCCCAGCCCAAUAAGGUAUGCCAAGAAGGUAACA